GACGAACGCUGGCGGCGUGCCUAAUACAUGCAAGUAGGACGCAGUUGCGAACGGGUGAGUAACGCGUAGGUAACUGCCUAUUAGAGGGGGAUAACUAUUGGAAACGAUAGCUAAUACCGCAUACUAGUAGAUGGACCUGCGUUGUAUUAGCUAGUAGGUAGGGUAAUGGCCUACCUAGGGGACGAGACAUAGCCGACCUGUGAGGGUAGUCGGCCACAAUUGGACUGAGACACGGCCCAGACUCCUACGGGAGGCAGCAGUAGGGAAUCUUCGGCAAUGGGGGGAACCCUGACCGGGCAACGGCGCGUGAGUGAAGAAGGUUUUCGGAUCGGAAAGCUCUGUUGUUAAGGAAGCGGUACUUAACCAGAAAGGGACGGCUAACUACGUGCCAGCAGACGCGGUAAUAC
This 407-nucleotide ribosomal RNA is filed under the name uncultured bacterium. Its description in RNAcentral is "partial 16S ribosomal RNA". It matches the Rfam family "Bacterial small subunit ribosomal RNA", at positions 28 to 526 of the family's 1533-position model. The record is from RNAcentral.